Molecule: long non-coding RNA, 1876 nt
Filed under: Aquilegia coerulea
Lineage: Eukaryota; Viridiplantae; Streptophyta; Magnoliopsida; Ranunculales; Ranunculaceae
Description: long non-coding RNA (ACOE_LNC001879)
Source: RNAcentral
AAAUGCCAAUAUUUACAUACAGGAAAGCUGGACUAUGGGUAUGUAAUUUUUGUUUUAGAUGGAAUUACGAAGUGGGUUAAUGGAGCUUAUUUAACGAUUAUUAUUGGGUUAAUGGGGUUUACAACACAAGUACACAACACAUUUAGACUCGAGGUGUUCUUUAUAACUUGUUUAUCACUAAUGGUGUUUACAAAUUACUAUAUUUAUGCAUGUACAAUCCUUUUAAUUCUCCAAGUGAUUGAUCAAUAUUUGUUCAAUAAAGUAGCUUUGCAGCCAUUUUUGUUGUUAGGUAAAAUUACCAAUAACUCAAUAAGUGAUUUGUCAGAAAAUGAUCUUAAUUGUGGAAAAACAUGUUUCAGUUCCAAUAGUCGAGAAGGUGAUAAGAACUUUGAUCAUAUAUAGAUAUUUUCAAAAUUUAAAAUUCUUGUGCAUUUGUCAAUAAAAUCUGCGAGAUCAAAAUUAACACAACAAGUUCAUUUUGUCUUCUCAAAUUAAACCAAACCAUAGAGAUUACUAGGUUGAACAAUCGAAACAUACAACAUAUUUUCUUGAAUAGUUUCUUUUAUGCAACAUGUUUCAUUUUAAUUUUAAUUUUUAUUAUUUUUUUUGGCAAAUUAUACAAACCCAUUUUUCAAUAUUUUUCAUUGGUCUUAUUCUGGUACUAGUAAGAUGAGUUGGCUUCCCUAUGUGGCAUUUAAAUUUACAAACAUUAUUCCAUGGUGUAUAUUCCUAGCUAGCCAUGUAAACACGAUGAUAUGUCAUCUUCCUCACUAAAUUUGACUGUUUCUUCUCCAUGUCUUUUAGCUCCAUCCUCAGUUCCAAGCUCAUUGUCUUCCCAGAUUCAAGUUUUGCCUCCAACAACUUCCUCAUCCCUUCCAAUUCUUUGUACUAGGUUUGUAGCUUACAUGGCAGUCUUUACUCUUUAGCUUGGUUUGCCGUUACUCCAUUACUUACACUCAACAUAUUUAUUCUAUUACACGUAAUCAUAUAAGUUGCAUCCCAGUACUCCGUCAUGCCAUAUCUCUCCUAUGACGGAAACGGUGAGUGAUGUUUAAAAUGCAAACUAGUGAAAGUAUGUUGUACAACCAGAAAAGUAAUGGUUGGAUGGACUGCAGCUAGCGAGAAAGUAUUUGUGUGUUUCGAUAGAUCAGCGUUACUAGUUACUAAUAAGCAACUAAUAAGUCUAACCAUGUAAAAACUUUGUUGUUCAGUUUUUGCUAUGUUCAGUUUUGACAAGCUGUAGACAAACAGUCAUAACUUUGGGCUCGGUAUUCCGAAUGGAGAUCUGUCUUUUGGGUUAGAAAGAGGAUUCUCUCAUCUUUCCAAUGGUAUAUGGCACGUCGUCUGGAGAUACGUAUUUUUGCAGAAAAAACGGCUUCGAAGUUCUGACAAGAAAAGUGCUUCUGGACAGCAGUUCUGACAGAUUUAUUGCCUCUGGACGGUAAAGUGUCUAUGGGCCUAUUUGGGCCCAUAACGUGGUAAAACCUAAUUUACCUUGUAAUACACUAUAUAAAGCCAUGAUGGUAUAGGAAACCUUAAGGAGUUUAAAAGAAGUUUUGGAAGCCAUAAGAAACAAAAGGCUAAGGGAGUUUUGAGAGAUUCAAAACUUGGAGAUUUGAGAUUUGGGAGGCUUUGGAGAAAACUUGGGGAGCAAUCUUUGUUGGGGGAUUUCUAGGUUUAUGUUCUUCUUGUAACGGGUGUGAGAGUGAGUUGUGUGAGAUCUCAUCUUGUAAUCCUUUUGGUGGAAGAUAAUAAAGUUCUUUGUUUUGCUUGUGGUGGUUUAUUCUCGUGAGGGUUCCACCAUGUAUAUCUUGUGUAUUGGUUUCGUUUUUCUUAUUAUCAUUGCUUGUUUCUUCUAGAUCUUGGGUUAUUCCGC